RNAcentral lists this ribosomal RNA (464 nucleotides) under uncultured bacterium. RNAcentral's name for it is "bacterial SSU rRNA". It matches the Rfam family "Bacterial small subunit ribosomal RNA", at positions 28 to 507 of the family's 1533-position model. The record is from RNAcentral.
GACGAACGCUGGCGGCGUGCUUAAAACAUGCAAGUCGAACGGACUUCUCAUGAAGCUUGCGAUUGAGAAGUUAGUGGCGGACGGGUGAGUAACGCGUGGGCAACCUGCCCCUGAGCCCGGGAUAACAGUUCGAAAGGACUGCUAAGACCGGAUAUACUUGCGGGGAAGCAUUUCUCUGUAAGGAAAGGGAACGCUCAGGGAUGGGCCCGCGUCCCAUUAGCUAGUUGGUGAGGUAACGGCCCACCAAGGCGACGAUGGGUAGCCGGCCUGAGAGGGUGAACGGCCACACUGGGACUGAGACACGGCCCAGACUCCUACGGGAGCAGCAGUUGGGAAUCUUCGGCAAUGGGCGCAAGCCUGACCGAGCAACGCCGCGUGAGUGAUGAAGGUUUUCGGAUUGUAAAGCUCUGUCUUCCGGGACGAUAAUGACGGUACCGGAGGAGGAAGCCACGGCUAACUACGUG